UACGGAGGAUGCAAUCGUUAUCCGGAUUCAUUGGGUUUAAAGGGUGCGCAGGUUGUUUGAUAAGUCAGUGGUGAAAGUCUGUCGCUUAACGGUAGGAUUGCCAUUGAUACUGUUGGACUUGAAUAUGGAUGAGGUAGGCGGAAUGUGUAGUGUAGCGGUGAAAUGCAUAGAUAUUACACAGAACACCGAUUGCGAAGGCAGCUUACUAAUCCAUCAUUGACGCUGAGGCACGAAAGCGUGGGGAUCAAA
Molecule: ribosomal RNA, 249 nt
Filed under: uncultured prokaryote
Description: partial 16S ribosomal RNA
Rfam family: Bacterial small subunit ribosomal RNA
Source: RNAcentral